This 665-nucleotide long non-coding RNA is filed under the name Ananas comosus (pineapple). RNAcentral's name for it is "long non-coding RNA (ACOM_LNC003847)". The record is from RNAcentral. Lineage: Eukaryota; Viridiplantae; Streptophyta; Magnoliopsida; Poales; Bromeliaceae.
CAAUUUCCUCUUUACCCUUCUAAAAUCAUCUAAUUUCAUAAAUACCCAUCUAAAAAUUGAAAUAUCAUGUAUACCCCCCAAAUUUGAAAAACUUUAAAAAAUAACCUUUCCAUCCAAAUUAAAGUUAAUUAGUAUUUAAAUUCCAACUUUACCCCUCUAAUAUUUCAAAAUUAAUAAACUCUAUCUAGACUAAAAAUUUAGUAAAAUUCAAUUGAUUUUAAUUUUUUUUUUUCAUUUUAAUUAAAAAUAAAUAUUUCUAUUUGGAAUAAAUUCUAGUUAAAUUUAAUUUUAUUUUGCUUCAUUGUUAAUUUAACUACAAUUUAUUCCAAUUAGAAAUAUUUGUUUUCAACUGCAAUUAAUAUUUUUUUAAAAUUAAAAUCAAUUGAAUUUUACUUAGUUAAUUUUGAAAUAUAAUAGAGGAUAUUUAUGAAAUAAAAUAAUUGACCAUUGAAUAUAUAAGAGGGGUAAAGUUGGAAUUUAAAUACUAAUUAGCUUUAAUUUAGAUAGAAACAUGAUGGUAAGGUUAUUUUUGAAAGAUUUUCAAAAUUCGGGGGUAUACAUGAUAUUUUAAUUUUUAGAUUGGUAUUUAUGAAAUUAGAUGGUUUUAUAAAGGUAUAGGGGAAAUUUUCCCUUAAAAAAAUAGAUUAUUUUGUGUUUUGAGUUAU